GUUUAUAUAAUUUAAAAAGAAUAUUGCGUUGAAGCUGCAAAAGAGAUAAGUUUAUCUGUAAACA
This 64-nucleotide transfer RNA is filed under the name Macrophthalmus pacificus. Its description in RNAcentral is "tRNA-Phe". The record is from RNAcentral. Lineage: Eukaryota; Metazoa; Arthropoda; Malacostraca; Decapoda; Macrophthalmidae.